Molecule: transfer RNA, 73 nt
Filed under: Felis catus (domestic cat)
Lineage: Eukaryota; Metazoa; Chordata; Mammalia; Carnivora; Felidae
Rfam family: tRNA
About the family: Transfer RNA (tRNA) molecules are approximately 80 nucleotides in length. Their secondary structure includes four short double-helical elements and three loops (D, anti-codon, and T loops).
Source: Rfam by way of RNAcentral
UCCUGGCUGGAUCAGUGGGUAGAGCAUGUGACUCUCGAUCUCAGGGUUGUGAGUUCGAGCCCCAUGUUAGGGG